CCUACGGGUGGCAGCAGUGGGGAAUAUUGCACAAUGGGCGCAAGCCUGAUGCAGCCAUGCCGCGUGUGUGAAGAAGGCCUUCGGGUUGUAAAGCACUUUCAGCGGGGAGGAAGGCGGUGAGGUUAAUAACCUCAUCGAUUGACGUUACCCGCAGAAGAAGCACCGGCUAACUCCGUGCCAGCAGCCGCGGUAAUACGGAGGGUGCAAGCGUUAAUCGGAAUUACUGGGCGUAAAGCGCACGCAGGCGGUCUGUCAAGUCGGAUGUGAAAUCCCCGGGCUCAACCUGGGAACUGCAUUCGAAACUGGCAGGCUUGGGUCUUGUAGAGGGGGGUAGAAUUCCAGGUGUAGCGGUGAAAUGCGUAAGGAUCUGGAGGAAUACCGGUGGCGAAGGCGGCCCCCUGGACAAAGGCUGACGCUCAGGUGCGAAAGCGUGGGGAGCAAACAGGAUUAGAUACCCUAGUAGUC
Molecule: ribosomal RNA, 465 nt
Filed under: uncultured Klebsiella sp.
Lineage: Bacteria; Pseudomonadati; Pseudomonadota; Gammaproteobacteria; Enterobacterales; Enterobacteriaceae
Description: bacterial SSU rRNA
Rfam family: Bacterial small subunit ribosomal RNA
Source: RNAcentral